Humulus lupulus (European hop) is the source of this 464-nucleotide long non-coding RNA. RefSeq lists it as uncharacterized. The record is from RefSeq and is a predicted model, not a curated record. Lineage: Eukaryota; Viridiplantae; Streptophyta; Magnoliopsida; Rosales; Cannabaceae. The transcript is spliced from 2 exons.
UUUCGGAACUUGAAUUUUUAAAUAUGGUCAUAUUAUAUGUCGUUGGACACGAUUUUGAAUAAGGAAUCCAAUAAUGAUAAUCAUUUGCUCAUUUGAUACUCGUAGGAAAAUCGUGAUAUAUAGAUCCAAUUUAAUUCGCUCUAGGAUAAUCGUUAAGCUUGGGAGUGUCCCUUGGGGCUCGGACUGAACAUUCUUAAGAGGAUCCUAGUGACGCAAAACGUGGAUAAGGUGAAUUAUCGCUGAAGCUAAUGUGUUUAGCUCCCUAGUCCUAUCUUUUGAGCAUUUUGUAUUUAAUUUGGAACCUAUCGGUCUGUAUAUCUAAGUUAGCUAUGUAAUAGUUAGACAUGAGGAAUGGUGGAUGCUAAGUAUUAUUAUGGUGUUUUAUGACUAAUUAAAUUUAACUAUUUGGUGACUACAUAACUGUGGGGAUAUUAUUGUUCUAUGUAUUAAGAUAAAUGAUCCUA